GUUCAUUUAGUUUAAUAUAAAAUUAUGAAAUGUGGUUUCUUAGAUAGCUUAUGGUUGAUGAACAU
Molecule: transfer RNA, 65 nt
Filed under: Asiomorpha coarctata
Lineage: Eukaryota; Metazoa; Arthropoda; Diplopoda; Polydesmida; Paradoxosomatidae
Description: tRNA-His
Source: RNAcentral